Molecule: long non-coding RNA, 239 nt
Organism: Penaeus monodon (black tiger shrimp)
Lineage: Eukaryota; Metazoa; Arthropoda; Malacostraca; Decapoda; Penaeidae
Exons: 2
Source: RefSeq, a predicted model, not a curated record
GGAGAAUAGAGUCCGAUGAGCGGGAAAAGAAGGCUUAACCAGUGAGUGAUCUCCACUUGAGGGUAACAUCUGGCAAGAAAAAAGAAGACCUUUUCAAUAAACUUCAUCAGUUGAGAGCGUCAGCACUUCAGUCGAGCCACAGACGAUGCAUGUUGAGAGAUGCAGAAGUACUGAAGGACACUGCAGCCUCCACUUUGUGUUAGCCAGGUGACCCCCCUCAUUUCACACUCCCUUCUCUG